AGAGUUUGAUCCUGGCUCAGAAUCAACGCUGGCGGCGCGCUUAACACAUGCAAGUCGCACGAGAAAGUGGAGCAAUCCAUGAGUACAGUGGCGUACGGGUGAGUAACACGUGGAUCAUCUACCUUUUAGUGGGGAAUACCCCCGGGAAACUGGGGAUAAUACCGCAUAAGCUCGUAAGAGGAAAGCAGCAAUGCGCUGAAAGAGGAGUCCGCGGCUGAUUAGCUAGUUGGUGAGGUAAUGGCUCACCAAGGCGAAGAUCGGUAGCCGGCCUGAGAGGGCACACGGCCACACUGGCACUGAAACACGGGCCAGACUCCUACGGGAGGCAGCAGUGGGGAAUCUUGCACAAUGGAGGAAACUCUGAUGCAGCGACGCCGCGUGAGCGAUGAAGCCCUUCGGGGUGUAAAGCUCUUUCGACGGGAACGAUAAUGACGGUACCCGAAGAAGAAGCUGCGGCUAACUACGUGCCAGCAGCCGCGGUAAUACGUAGGCAGCAAGCGUUGUUCGGAAUUACUGGGCGUAAAGAGUGUGUAGGCGGUGCUCUAAGUCUGUUGUGAAAUCUCCCGGCUUAACCGGGAGGGUGCGGCGGAAACUGGAGUGCUUGAGGGUGGGAGAGGUAAGCGGAAUUCCUGGUGUAGCGGUGAAAUGCGUAGAUAUCAGGAGGAACACCUGUGGUGUAGACAGCUUACUGGACCACUUCUGACGCUGAGACACGAAAGCGUGGGUAGCAAACAGGAUUAGAUACCCNNGUAGUCC
RNAcentral lists this ribosomal RNA (756 nucleotides) under uncultured bacterium. RNAcentral describes it as "bacterial SSU rRNA". It matches the Rfam family "Bacterial small subunit ribosomal RNA", at positions 8 to 796 of the family's 1533-position model. The record is from RNAcentral.